Molecule: small nucleolar RNA, 104 nt
Organism: Sorex araneus (European shrew)
Lineage: Eukaryota; Metazoa; Chordata; Mammalia; Eulipotyphla; Soricidae
Product: small nucleolar RNA U13
Exons: 1
Source: RefSeq, a predicted model, not a curated record
AUUCUUUUCCAGGUCAUAAGCAUGAUGAUUGAGUGUUCACACUUUUGUGUGACAUGCUCCUCUCUCAAAUAUUGUUAUGAAUUUGGCACAUUACCCAUCUGACA